CAAAGGAUCCCUAGUAACGGCGAGUGAAGAGGGAAGAGCCCAAGAUUGAAAGCUGGCGCCUUCGGCGUCCGCAUUGUAAUCUCAAGAAGUGUUUUCCGCUUCGGACCAUGCCUAAGUCCCUUGGAAAAGGGCAUCAUAGAGGGUGAUAAUCCCGUACAUGGCAUGGAGCGCCCGAAGCUUUGUGAUACGCUUUCUAAGAGUCGAGUUGUUUGGGAAUGCAGCUCAAAAUGGGUGGUAAAUGCCAUCUAAGGCUAAAUAUUGGGGAGAGACCGAUAGCGAACAAGUACAGUGAUGGAAAGAUGAAAAGAACUUUGAAAAGAGAGUUAAACAGUACGUGAAAUUGCCAAAAGGGAAGGGUAGGAGGUCAGAGAUGCGUCGCAGGAUUCAGCCUUGCUUUUGCUUGGUGUUUUUCCUGCGUUGCAGGCCAACGUCGGUUUUGGGCACUGGAGAAGGGUAGGAGGAACGUGGCACCUCUCGGGGUGUGUUAUAGCCUCCUACUGGAUACAGCGACCGAGACCGAGGAACGCAGCGUACUCGUAAGAGCGGGCCUUUUGGCACCUUUACGCUUAGGGCGUUGGCAUAAUGGCCCUCUACCACCCGUCUUGAACCACGGACCAA
RNAcentral lists this ribosomal RNA (618 nucleotides) under Pseudozyma hubeiensis. RNAcentral's name for it is "partial large subunit ribosomal RNA". It matches the Rfam family "Eukaryotic large subunit ribosomal RNA", at positions 69 to 669 of the family's 3401-position model. Lineage: Eukaryota; Fungi; Basidiomycota; Ustilaginomycetes; Ustilaginales; Ustilaginaceae. The record is from RNAcentral.